GGGGAAGGGAAUCCUCAUUAUCACAGUCCAUUUUACAAAUUUCUAGUCAUGCAACUGCACAUUAAAUUAAGUUUUAUCAUAGAUAUGAAUCUAUAAUAUUCAUCAUAUCCAUUUCAGAGCAGUAGGACAAUAUGCGUACAAUAAAUCAGCUAACUACAAGUUAACUGUUGAACCAAUUUCUAACGAUAUAGAUAUUAAUUCAGAACUGAAUGGGGUUCUAGGAAACAGAACAUACAAGAAACUGAAGACAUUUGGUUCUGAAAUUCUUUUAGCAUCAAAGUCCAAUGAAUUUAUGUAGGCAUUAUAACAGUUUUUUU
RNAcentral lists this unclassified non-coding RNA (317 nucleotides) under Hevea brasiliensis (rubber tree). Lineage: Eukaryota; Viridiplantae; Streptophyta; Magnoliopsida; Malpighiales; Euphorbiaceae. The record is from RNAcentral.